Molecule: ribosomal RNA, 497 nt
Filed under: uncultured bacterium
Lineage: Bacteria
Description: partial 16S ribosomal RNA
Rfam family: Bacterial small subunit ribosomal RNA
Source: RNAcentral
GAUGAACGCUGGCGGCGUGCCUAAUACAUGCAAGUCGAGCGAACAGACGAGGAGCUUGCUCCUCUGACGUUAGCGGCGGACGGGUGAGUAACACGUGGAUAACCUACCUAUAAGACUGGGAUAACUUCGGGAAACCGGAGCUAAUACCGGAUAAUAUAUUGAACCGCAUGGUUCAAUAGUGAAAGACGGUUUUGCUGUCACCUAUAGAUGGAUCCGCGCCGCAUUAGCUAGUUGGUAAGGUAACGGCUUACCAAGGCGACGAUGCGUAGCCGACCUGAGAGGGUGAUCGGCCACACUGGAACUGAGACACGGUCCAGACUCCUACGGGAGGCAGCAGUAGGGAAUCUUCCGCAAAGGGCGAAAGCCUGACGGAGCAACGCCGCGUGAGUGAUGAAGGUCUUCGGAUCGUAAAACUCUGUUAUUAGGGAAGAACAAAUGUGUAAGUAACUAUGCACGUCUUGACGGUACCUAAUCAGAAAGCCACGGCUAACUACGUG